RNAcentral lists this ribosomal RNA (574 nucleotides) under Sarcocystis fusiformis. RNAcentral describes it as "SSU rRNA". It matches the Rfam family "Eukaryotic small subunit ribosomal RNA", at positions 145 to 700 of the family's 1831-position model. Lineage: Eukaryota; Apicomplexa; Conoidasida; Eucoccidiorida; Sarcocystidae. The record is from RNAcentral.
AACCGUGGUAAUUCUAUGGCUAAUACAUGCGCAAAUACUAUAUCACUCGGGGGUAUAGUAGUGUUUAUUAGAUACAGAACCAAUACACCUUUUUUAAAGGGUGUAGAAAAAGGUGAUUCAUAGUAACCGAACGGAUCGCAUUAUAAUCAUUUCGAUGAUUGGCGAUAGAUCAUUCAAGUUUCUGACCUAUCAGCUUUCGACGGUAGUGUAUUGGACUACCGUGGCAGUGACGGGUAACGGGGAAUUAGGGUUCGAUUCCGGAGAGGGAGCCUGAGAAACGGCUACCACAUCUAAGGAAGGCAGCAGGCGCGCAAAUUACCCAAUCCUGACUCAGGGAGGUAGUGACAAGAAAUAACAACACUGGAAAUUCUAUUUCUAGUGAUUGGAAUGAUGGGAAUCCAAACCCCUUUCAGAGUAACAAUUGGAGGGCAAGUCUGGUGCCAGCAGCCGCGGUAAUUCCAGCUCCAAUAGCGUAUAUUAAAGUUGUUGCAGUUAAAAAGCUCGUAGUUGGAUAUCUGCUGGAAGCAAUCAGUCCGCCCUUUUAGUGAGGGUGUGUACUUGAUGAAUUCUGGCA